This 468-nucleotide ribosomal RNA is filed under the name uncultured bacterium. RNAcentral's name for it is "partial 16S ribosomal RNA". It matches the Rfam family "Bacterial small subunit ribosomal RNA", at positions 28 to 507 of the family's 1533-position model. The record is from RNAcentral.
GACGAACGCUGGCGGCGUGCUUAACACAUGCAAGUCGAACGGAAAGGCCCUGCUUUUGUGGGGUGCUCGAGUGGCGAACGGGUGAGUAACACGUGAGUAACCUGCCCUUGACUUUGGGAUAACUUCAGGAAACUGGGGCUAAUACCGGAUAGGAGCUCCUGCUGCAUGGUGGGGGUUGGAAAGUUUCGGCGGUUGGGGAUGGACUCGCGGCUUAUCAGCUUGUUGGUGGGGUAGUGGCUUACCAAGGCUUUGACGGGUAGCCGGCCUGAGAGGGUGACCGGCCACAUUGGGACUGAGAUACGGCCCAGACUGCUACGGGAGGCAGCAGUGGGGAAUAUUGCACAAUGGGCGGAAGCCUGAUGCAGCAACGCCGCGUGCGGGAUGACGGCCUUCGGGGUGUAAACCGCUUUCGCCUGUGACGAAGCGUGAGUGACGGUAAUGGGUAAAGAAGCACCGGCUAACUACGUG